RNAcentral lists this long non-coding RNA (949 nucleotides) under Sorghum bicolor (sorghum). Its description in RNAcentral is "long non-coding RNA (SBIC_LNC001315)". Lineage: Eukaryota; Viridiplantae; Streptophyta; Magnoliopsida; Poales; Poaceae. The record is from RNAcentral.
AGAUCAGUUUUGCAUCAACAAUGGUUUCUUGUUUUAUUUUGCACAUAAUAGUUUGGAAAAGACCAGUGGAAUGAAUUACUAAUAUUAUGUUUGAAAAAGUAAAUUUCAGUGCCUUCACAACACCCAUUUAUGAACAGAUACAUAUGAACAGUGAGUUUCGUUCUAACAUUAGACAUAUAUAAUCAUACCACAUCAUAACUGACAUUACUUAGUGUUCAGAAUACAUCGGCACCACAAGCUACAUAUCAUAAUAUUUCAUCACUUGGUGUCCAUACAUCACCACAUCACCAAAAGCUACUUAACAUAUACCAGGACCAGAUAAACAUCAUCACCAAAAGUCAGCCACCUUAUCAGCCAUGUUGAGGUUGGCCAGUACGAUCACAUCACUUCUUGAGGUCGGCCACCUUCUCUGCCAGGGCAUGCAGGUCCGCACCGAUAGCAUCGAUCUUGCUGUUGAGGCCGUUGUUGCGAUCAACCUGUUUCUUUGAGGUGAUCAGUCUUUGUAACACCCAAAAUUUUGAUUUCAAUUAAUAGGAAUUAAUUUGAUUAUUUAAGAAUUUUUGUGAGCAUUGGAAUCUAGCAAAAUAAAUAAUUUUGUGCAAAUUAAAAUUCGCCAUAAAUUUAGAAACAUGAAUUUGCAUUCAUGCUGGGGCAUAUUUUUAUUUUGUGCUGUGAGAUAUUGGUUUGAAGUUAAUUGUGUUCAAAAUUCUAUUUGAAAAGGGCUUUGAAAAAUAAAAUAGAAAAAAAAGAAAAGAAAAAGAAAAGGGGGAAGAACCCCGCAACCAGCUGAGGCCCAUUUCCCCUCUGGCCUGCUUGCCCCCUCCCCCCGCAGCCCAGCUUCUUUCCCCGGCCCAGCGUGCGCAACCAGCGACCCCGCAGCCCAGUAGCCAGGCCUGCCAGCGCGCUCCCUUUUCCCCCCUCCUUCUGCUCGCUGACCUUCAGGCCCCGC